This 256-nucleotide ribosomal RNA is filed under the name uncultured bacterium. RNAcentral describes it as "partial 16S ribosomal RNA". It matches the Rfam family "Bacterial small subunit ribosomal RNA", at positions 526 to 779 of the family's 1533-position model. The record is from RNAcentral.
CGUAGGGUGCGAGCGUUGUCAGGAAUUAUUGGGCGUAAAGAGCUUGUAGGCGGUUUGUUGCGUCUGCUGUGAAAAUUCAGGGGCUUAACCCUGGACGUGCAGUGGGUACGGGCAGACUAGAGUAUAGUAGGGGAGACUGGAAUUCCUGGUGUAGCGGUGGAAUGCGCAGAUAUCAGGAGGAACACCGAUGGCGAAGGCAGGUCUCUGGGCCAUUACUGACGCUGAGAAGCGAAAGCAUGGGGGAGCGAACAGGAUU